UCGGGUGUCUUCGGCGGCGCUUUGCGGCCAGUCGUGCGGGCCGGGCGCGGCGGGCGCGGCGGCAGUGGCGCGCACAGGUGAUUGACUGGCCAGUUGCCUGAGGGAGCGCCUGGUCCUCACUGCUGGCAGGUGGCGGAGACCAUUUGGGCGGCGGCGGAGGAGGUGGCGGCGGCAGUGGCGGCCCGGCGCGGGAGGCGCUUCUCGGGCCAAGGCCAUGGCCCCGCGUUUGCAGCUGGAGAAGGCGGCCUGGCGCUGGGCGGAGACGGUGCGGCCCGAGGAGGUGUCGCAGGAGCACAUCGAGACAGCUUACCGCAUCUGGCUGGAACCAUGCAUCCGUGGCGUGUGCAGGCGAAACUGCAAAGGAAAUCCGAAUUGUUUGGUUGGGAUUGGUGAGCAUAUUUGGUUAGGAGAAAUAGAUGAAAAUAGUUUCCAUAACAUUGAUGACCCCAACUGUGAGAGGAGAAAAAAGAACUCAUUUGUGGGCCUGACUAACCUUGGAGCUACUUGUUAUGUCAACACAUUUCUUCAAGUGUGGUUUCUCAACCUGGAGCUUCGGCAGGCACUGUACUUAUGUCCAAGUACCUGUACUGAGUACGUCAUGGGAGACGGUAUCCACGAAGAGAAAGAUUAUGAGCCUAAAACAAUUUGUGAGCACCUCCAGUACUUGUUUGCCCUGUUGCAGAACAGUAACAGACGAUACAUUGAUCCAUCAGGCUUUGUUAAAGCCUUGGGCUUGGACACUGGGCAACAGCAGGAUGCUCAAGAGUUUUCAAAGCUUUUUAUGUCUCUAUUGGAAGAUACUUUGUCUAAACAAAAGAAUCCAGAUGUGCGGAAUAUUGUCCAACAGCAGUUCUGUGGGGAAUAUGCUUAUGUAACUGUUUGCAAUCAGUGUGGCAGAGAGUCUAAGCUUUUAUCAAAGUUUUAUGAACUGGAGUUAAAUAUCCAAGGCCACAAACAGUUAACAGAUUGUAUCUCGGAAUUUUUGAAGGAAGAAAAAUUAGAAGGAGAUAAUCGAUACUUUUGUGAAAAUUGUCAAAGCAAACAGAAUGCAACAAGGAAGAUCCGACUCCUUAGUCUUCCUUGCACUCUGAACUUACAGCUAAUGCGUUUUGUCUUUGACAGGCAAACUGGACAUAAGAAAAAGCUGAAUACCUACAUUGGCUUCUCAGAAAUUUUGGAUAUGGAGCCUUAUGUGGAACAUAAAGGUGGGUCCUAUGUGUAUGAGCUCAGUGCGGUCCUCAUACACAGGGGAGUGAGUGCUUAUUCUGGCCACUACAUCGCCCACGUGAAAGAUCCACAGUCUGGUGAAUGGUACAAGUUUAACGACGAAGACAUAGAAAAGAUGGAGGGGAAGAAAUUGCAACUAGGGAUUGAGGAAGAUCUAGCAGAACCUUCAAAGUCCCAAACACGUAAACCCAAGUGUGGCAAAGGAACUCACUGCUCUCGAAAUGCAUACAUGUUGGUUUAUAGAUUGCAAACUCAAGAAAAGCCCAACACAACUGUUGAAGUUCCAGCCUUUCUUCAAGAGCUGGUAGAUCGGGAUAAUUCCAAAUUUGAGGAGUGGUGUAUUGAAAUGGCCGAGAUGCGUAAGCAAAGUGUGGAUAAAGGAAAAGCAAAACACGAAGAGGUUAAGGAGCUGUACCAAAGGUUACCUGCUGGAGCUGGUCUGUAAGAUAUUUUGGGACAGCACUGUUGCCAUUAAGUGCCUUGUUUUUUUUAUGUUCACAAAUGUAUAUGAACAAACUUCCUCCUAUCUUUUCUUAUAACUCACUACAGCCCGCUUAUACACUCUAAAAUUACUGUGUAAACCAGCAAUACCUUGAUGUGUAGCAUUCCAUAUAAUUUAAAUUAUCUUGUAUUUUAAAAGGAGUGGUUGUUAAUAAAUUAUAAGAUUUAGGUCAGCACUCUGCAUACGUGAGUUUUGUAGAUACACCUAUUUGUGAGAUAUUGUUUCUAAAGAAAAAUCUGAUUACUAUUGGGAACAACUUACUUGUUCUGUUUUCUUUGAAUACUUUGUGCCCUGACAGUAUUAAGAGGCAUUCUUUUAUAUGGAUGCAAUUUUUUGAGUAUAAUUUUUGAUAUUAUUUGAUGAACUUGAAAUUUAAUAUAAAAUGUUAAGAGAAGAAAAGCUCUCUGCUGCCCCUUGAUUUCUUAGAAUUAUCCCGUGUAACUCAGCUCAUCUCAUUACUAUUGAAUAUGUUUAUUCAAGUUUAUAGUGUCUCAGAAAAGAAACCAACUUCAUUAAGCUGAUAUGCCAUUUGUAAUAAGUUAUCUUUGUCAUUUCACAGACAUGAAUUCCCCAAACCUAACUCUUGCUUACAGAAGAUAAACAAUUUAAUCCCACCUUUAGAAAAUAAAUACUCAAGCAUAAUUAUACUUGUGGUUUUGUCUUUUUAAUAUCUUUAAUUAUCCAUUACUGGCAUAACUUUAAAUGGAAGAUGAAUAUAAAUUGCUAAAUCUGUAAGAGUAUCUUACAGGCUUUUUCUAAACUGCAUCUUAAUUUGAUUCUGACCCUUCUUUGUAACCUGUUUCUUUAACUUUAUCCAAGGGUUGGGAUUAUCCUAAAGAAUUAGACCUUAAUUUAACUGGAAAUGAUUUGGAAAUGAACCCAUGACUCAAAUCUCUAAAUUUACAGGUCUUUGUUCAAAGGAGUUGGGACCUAGAAAUCUAUUUUCUGAACUGUAUUCACAGUUUCCUGUAUUCACUGGGCAAGAGAAAGGACUUACUGGGUCUAAAGAGAAAUUCUAUUUUGAACCACUCCUUAGAACUAUAUAGUUCAAAGAUGUUUACAUGUUAACACUGUGUUUCCCUUGGCUGUUUUCAUUCAGUGUGUAAGAACCUGUACCUAUGUUCUUAGGUUAUAUUAUUUGUACUUUUACUGAUUAGUAGUUUUAUAGUUUUUUCCAUUUGCAGUAAACUUACAUAGUGAAAAUUCCUUGUUGUCCUAAAGGGAUGUAAAAUCUCAGUUAAUGGCCAUGGUUUUGUGCUGGUAAUGAAAGUCUUUGGUGCGCACUUUCUAAAUCUUUGUGAACAUAUUGAAAAUGGCCACUUAUCCUAGAAAUCUAAGCCUCGUGGGAACACCCUUUGACCCUUUUAAGUUCAAAUAUUUUAAAAUUAUCACUAGUUAAGGUGUUUGAAAUAUAUUUUAUGCUAUGAUUGUUCUAGACUUUAUAAUUUUACAACAGAAAAUUGGUUAUUUUUAAAAUCCAGGCAUUUUUUUUUUUUUUUAAUUAGAAGUAAUUUUUAGCCCAAAAUGUGUAGUUCCCCUUUGGCAAAUAUUUUAAUAAUUGCUUUCCGUUUCACCUAAUGCUGAUAUUUCAUAUAGUCUGAUCUCUCCAACUUGAUAAUGAGGUAGAGGCCUCAUUCCCAUUUGGUCAUUGAUCGUGCUUUGGAACUCCAUACUUAGGUAGUUCUCCAAAACACACAUACUACAGAGUCUGCCUUUACUGGGAGACUUGGGUAGACCCCUGUUCUCAGCGAUGCUCUUGGCAGAGAUUGAUGCAUCUCUUUAUGGUGCUAAAGAUUGAAAAUGAAAGAGAAAGAAAGACCUCUGUGACCACAGUUUCUUCCUCCCAUGGGUCCCAUAGCACACUAAACUGAAAUCUGCCUGAGUUAAUAAUAAAUGCAGUGUUAGGAUUAGAAUUAUGGGUGCAGUCUCUGCUUUCUUCCUUCCUCUUCUUACUAUAAAAUAAUACAUGGUUCUUCUACUCUUCAUAUAUUAAAUUCAUCUUGAACUAUUCAAAAACUGAAACAACAAGCUUCACUUGGCAGUUUUCUGUGGGAUUGGACAAUGUCUUGCACUAACUGCAUUUGAGUCAUAUUGUUGGUGGACAGGUCAGGGGUACAGUUACCCGAGGCCUUGAAUUUCUACAGAUAUCUCUUGGCAAGGACUGCUUUGUGCAUUUUUAGUUCCCCUAGAGUCCUUUCGUUAUUGUAAUGGCCAGGAUUCUUACAUUUAUUCUUCCAAUUAAGUGGGCAAAUAACCUCUAUUUGCCCCUCCCCAGAGGCUAGGGAGACUAGAACACGUAGUGAAUUAUUCUUCAAGGUUGUUCUUUAUCACAAUCCUGGUUUUAUUUUUUUUCUUUGAUAGCCUUCAAGAUUACUCACAAUUUUAAGCUAUCUCACUGUAUUUGGGAAAAGAUUAGAUAUGCUGAAAUUUUUUAGUUUGCUCUGCGAUAGGGAGCAAAUAUCUUUACAUUCUUUAGAUACCCGUUGUUCUCUGUCCCUGGGAGAUUAAACUUGAUACAUGGCAAAAAAAAUUGAGAGGUAUUUUGAAUGUAAUUAACCAUACCAUGAUGUAAAAUGCCACAGCUAUGUUACCCAUACUGCAUCUUAAGGUCUCCCCUCUUACAUAUUGUGUGAAUGUAUAAUUAACUGUUCUAUAUCUCUUUUCUUCCAAAAAGCUCAAAAUGCUUCAUAUAUCUUACCUUUUACACUCAACAACAUCCCUGUGAGAGCCCUAUGAGUUUGUCUCUCUUGAGUGGCUGCAGAAGUGGUUGGAUGAAUCGACACCUACCAAGCCUAUUGAUAAUCACGCUUGCCUGUGUGCUCACGACAAGCUUCAUCCAGAUAAAAUAUCA
RNA transcript from Nycticebus coucang (slow loris), 4580 nucleotides. It is a transcript of the gene named ubiquitin specific peptidase 48, with no coding region annotated. The transcript has 12 exons. Lineage: Eukaryota; Metazoa; Chordata; Mammalia; Primates; Lorisidae. The record is from RefSeq and is a predicted model, not a curated record.